Molecule: non-coding RNA, 87 nt
Organism: Triticum aestivum (bread wheat)
Lineage: Eukaryota; Viridiplantae; Streptophyta; Magnoliopsida; Poales; Poaceae
Source: Rfam
UACAUACUCCCUCCGUCCGAAAAUACUUGUCAUCAAAAUGGAUAAUCCAUUUUGAUGACAAGUAUUUCCGGACGGAGGGAGUAGCAU